UCAUCAUGAAAGAGACCGUGGAUGCCGAAG
Molecule: non-coding RNA, 30 nt
Filed under: Homo sapiens (human)
Lineage: Eukaryota; Metazoa; Chordata; Mammalia; Primates; Hominidae
Source: RNAcentral